This 481-nucleotide ribosomal RNA is filed under the name uncultured bacterium. RNAcentral describes it as "partial 16S ribosomal RNA". It matches the Rfam family "Bacterial small subunit ribosomal RNA", at positions 28 to 507 of the family's 1533-position model. The record is from RNAcentral.
GAUGAACGCUGGCGGCGUGCUUAACACAUGCAAGUCGAACGAAGCACUUUAUUUGAUUUCCUUCGGGACUGAUUAUUUUGUGACUGAGUGGCGGACGGGUGAGUAACGCGUGGGUAACCUGCCGUGUACAGGGGGAUAACAGUUGGAAACGGCUGCUAAUACCGCAUAAGCGCACGGCAUCGCAUGAUGCAGUGUGAAAAACUCCGGUGGUAUAAGAUGGACCCGCGUUGGAUUAGCUAGUUGGUGCGGUAACGGCCCACCAAGGCGACGAUCCAUAGCCGACCUGAGAGGGUGACCGGCCACAUUGGGACUGAGACACGGCCCAAACUCCUACGGGAGGCAGCAGUGGGGAAUAUUGCACAAUGGGCGAAAGCCUGAUGCAGCGACGCCGCGUGAGCGAAGAAGUAUUUCGGUAUGUAAAGCUCUAUCAGCAGGGAAGAUAAUGACGGUACCUGACUAAGAAGCACCGGCUAAAUACGUG